GGGCCCGCACAAGCGGUGGAGCAUGUGGUUUAAUUCGAUGCAACGCGAAGAACCUUACCUGCUCUUGACAUCCCAAGAAUCCUCUAGAGAUAGAGGAGUGCCUUAGGGAACUUGGUGACAGGUGUUGCAUGGCUGUCGUCAGCUCGUGUCGUGAGAUGUUGGGUUAAGUCCCGCAACGAGCGCAACCCUUGCCCUUAGUUACCAGCGGUUCGGCCGGGAACUCUAAGGGGACUGCCGGUGAUAAACCGGAGGAAGGUGGGGACGAUGUCAAGUCAUUAUGGCCCUUAUGAGCAGGGCUACACACGUGCUACAAUGGGCAGUACAAUGGGCAGCGAAGUCGCGAGGCUAAGCGAAUCCCAAAAAGCUGUUCUUAGUCCGGAUUGGAGUCUGCAACUCGACUCCAUGAAGUUGGAAUCGCUAGUAAUCG
Molecule: ribosomal RNA, 427 nt
Filed under: uncultured bacterium
Lineage: Bacteria
Description: bacterial SSU rRNA
Rfam family: Bacterial small subunit ribosomal RNA
Source: RNAcentral